GACCUGCUGCGUAAGAGCCAGUGGGCUCGCUUCCCCAUGGUUUCUGAAGGAUGAAAACCGGGUUUCCUGCCCCGUCAUCUGGUCAGCAUACUUGGCUGUGCUGGCAGCCCUUGGCAACACCCAGAUGAGAUGUAAGUGGGGGAGCAGCUGAUUUCCAGGGAAAAAGCCGGAGGAAUCAACUCAGGGGAACUGCAUCUUACCUGCCGCUGGGGAAAGGCGGGAACGCGACGGACUUUAGCUUCUUGUCCUCCGCCGCUGACAGGCAGUUUUUGAUGGUCUCUUCAAGCUGUUCUUCACAUUUGUCGGAGCCCCACUGAGGGAUGUGACAGUGGAUGACAAAUUUGGCUGCGAGUCCACUGGAUUGGCUGACGGCGGCUGGGACAUAGGAGAGAAAAUGCCUCGGGUUAUUUCCUAAGGUUUCCUAGGUUAUAGCCUAACCUCAUCAGGUACCUGUUAGAUCUGGAGAUAAGGCAGUGAUAGAGACGUUGGCUGGGCAGCAUCCUGUGCUCCUGAUGUGGACUAUGUUUAACGAGAGCAAGAGCUGGGCUGGAUCGCUUUGCACAGUUAGCACAAGCUUUGGGUAGAAGCGUUUAAUGCUGCUCUGAUGCGCCAUUUUCAUAUGGUCUGCCAAGUAGUCCCUGGGUUGGGCUACCUCCUCACAAUGGUUCCUAGCUAAAGGGACACGUCAGAUCCUCUCUGGUGGCUGUGGUAGGUAAAGUAAUGGCAUCCCAAAACAUCCACGUCCUCCUCCCUGGAACCUGUGGGUGUUCCCGUACAUGGCAAAAAGGACUUUGCAGAUGUGAUUAAGUGAAGGCUCUUGAGAUGGGGAGAUGAUCCUGGACUGUCUGGGUGAGCCUGGGACCUGAUAAGAGGGAGGCAAGGAGGUCAAAGGCAGGAGAAGGCCGUGGGAUGAAGGAGACAGAGAUUGGAACGAUGCAGCCAGGAGCCAAGGAAUGUUGCAGCUUAGAAGCUGGAAAAGGCCAAGUGGAACCCCUGGGAGAUGACAGGACACCACCUCUGACCCCACAGAAACCCUGUCGGUGUGCACCAGUGCAUCCAGCUCUCAUGUCUCUGAGAUGACAUGGGUGUUUUGUGCAGACUGGGAUGACGGCAGCUUUGGGGCAGCAGAGGAGGCAUUUUUCAGAUGUUUUCAUCUUUGAAUGAACUUGGUGAUCUGGAUGUCUGCGGCAAGUCUCAGCUCUCUCUUUAUGAAUCAUCAUUAUUAUUAUGGUUCAGUUCAUGGUCUUCCCCAGGGCCUGGGUGCUGAUGCUUCCCCACUCCACACUCGAGCCUCAAGUAUAUGUGGACAGCCACAGUACACUGUGCAGCUGGUUUAGGACAAGUGUCUAUUCCAGUGGUCACUGUCCACUGGGGGAGGGCGUGCAGAGGGGUUUUCUUUGUUAAUGUUCUUGGGUUUCCAUGAUGCAACUGAGAAAUGGUGAUUGUGCAUUAUACCCAGUACCUCUGAGACUCCUUUCUGGCCCCCAGAUCCCUGGACACUGUUGAUCUAUUGGGUCCAGAAGCCUGGAGAAGGCCGGGUAACUGAAGCUGGUAGCCAGUUCAUGUUGAGAAGCAGAGGACUAGGUCUACACUGGCGCCCUCUGCAUUCAGGUCAAGGGCCAAAUGGGAAUGUGCAGAAGGCAAGGGGAAUCCACCCUCCUCACUGAAGCCUUUUAAGAAAAAAGCAUCCUGGAGAGAGGUAGUUUCUCUCUACAGAAGCAUUCCCAAGAAGGAAAGGAGCAAUGCUAGAAUGAGAAUACCACAGCUUUGCAACUCCUAACAAAUGGCGGAAUCUAGAGAAGAGGCAUCAAUGGCCACCAGCAUCACACCAAUACAGACAACCAGGCACGACGCGCCUCCUCGGGCACGAGCGCUCCCCGCUGACCAAGGAGUCUUGGCAAAGUUUUCGAACCUACACCUCAUGAAACCUCUAGAUCCAACCACCAAGUUAUAAAAAAGCAAAG
This 1964-nucleotide long non-coding RNA is filed under the name Pan troglodytes (chimpanzee). RNAcentral's name for it is "long non-coding RNA NONPTRT002215". The record is from RNAcentral. Lineage: Eukaryota; Metazoa; Chordata; Mammalia; Primates; Hominidae.